GAAGUGGCGCGCACAGAGGAAAGGAAUGGAGACUUCACGACGGCUAAUUUGAAGUUUACCACGAUAUUGCACCCACUAUUCAAGCUAAUGCAAGAUAAAAAAUGAAUUCAGAAGAAUCACCACAAUUUCCUUGGAGCGUACAUUCUUGUAAAAACUGGACUUCUAUACCCCAAAACUCCUGACUUUGUUUGAGAUGAGGGGUGGGGUUGCUGGCAUAAGAAUUAAACAUUUGCUGGAUUCACUCAGCCGGCAAGAAGAAAGCCUUGAAGAUAGGUGAGACGUUGUGAUUCACUGCCUCCUAUCUUUCCUGGGAGAAUCAGCUGAGGACCUCACUGAAGACCACCAGGAUAUCAGCAGAGACAUGAUUAAGGAUACCUUCUCCAGUCAUGUCAUGAAACUGAGCAGAUCUGUGGAAGAAGAUGCCAGUAUGUCUGAUGUCAUCAUUGUAAUUGAGGGAACUGAGGUGCUGCUGGGAUGUAAGAAUCUCACAAAUGCAUGUCUUUCACUCACAGGCUGCAUUAACUCCCUAAACUUAAGCU
Paramisgurnus dabryanus is the source of this 539-nucleotide non-coding RNA. Lineage: Eukaryota; Metazoa; Chordata; Actinopteri; Cypriniformes; Cobitidae. The record is from RefSeq and is a predicted model, not a curated record.